This 676-nucleotide long non-coding RNA is filed under the name Drosophila guanche. Lineage: Eukaryota; Metazoa; Arthropoda; Insecta; Diptera; Drosophilidae. The record is from RNAcentral.
CUGAGGAAAGUAAAACGAGUAGAGAGAGAGAGAGAGAGAGAGCAGUAGGUGGACUCGUAGUAGAUGGUCGAUGGCGAAGGAGAACUGCAGCCAGCAGCUGCCAGGACACGUACAACGACGCGUCGGAGACGCUGACGCUGAUGGAGUCAGGAGCCAAAAACGAUGGAGGACACACAACGUCCUCCUCCUUCUCUCCUUCUGUCCUUCCUCCCGCGUCCACCCACUCCUAGCCAGAGUUUUUACUUCCUUUUCAGCCGUGCCUUGCCCUGCCGUGCCUUGCCUUGUGUGUGUUGUUUUUUGCGCCAACCUCGUCGUAAAAACAAACUGAACUGAAAAGCAGCCCAAGGAAGCAGCAACCGAAAAGAGCCCCAAAAUGCAGCUGCAGCGAGGAACAGCCCGACACAUCUCCGGGGAAAAUGAAACCGGGCGGAGGUGUGGCAUCGAGUAGGUGGAGUAGGGCGGCAGCAGGCCCAAGGAGCUCGAGCAAAAGGCCAAGGAAACGAGCAAAUCAAGUGGCAGCAGCAAUGGGCAGACUCGACGAAUGCCCUGGAAAGAUGAAUGGAAUGUUGGCAAUGAAGAGAAUGCCACAGGAAUCAUGGAAGUGAAGAGCGACACAAAUGGAAAUAAUUUGAAAAGAUUCAACUUCCAAGUGAAAGUAAGAACAAAAAUAAAUAGG